AUUCCCAGUACAGCGUGGAGGGGUUAGGCAGCGUGUCUGAUUCUCUGCGGAACGGCGAGCACAUUUGUGCUUUGCCCGCCGCGGCCCAGGAGGCCUUUUGGGGCCGCGUAGUCGGUGUUUUUGAACUGACUCCACAGCUCGUGGCGGGCCGUGCGGCGCCCUGACCCGGCCUGACCAUGUUGGUGCUGUUUGAAACGUCUGUGGGCUACGCCAUCUUUAAGGUUCUAAAUGAGAAGAAACUUCAAGAGGUUGAUAGUUUAUGGAAAGAAUUUGAAACUCCAGAGAAAGCAAACAAAAUAGUAAAGCUAAAACAUUUUGAGAAAUUUCAGGAUACAGCAGAAGCAUUAGCAGCAUUCACAGCUCUGAUGGAGGGCAAAAUCAAUAAGCAGCUGAAAAAAGUUCUGAAGAAAAUAGUAAAAGAAGCCCAUGAACCGCUGGCAGUAGCUGAUGCUAAACUAGGAGGGGUCAUAAAGAUGUUCUUGUUCUUGUAGGAAAAGCUGAAUCUCAGUUGUAUCCAUAGUCCUGUUGUUAAUGAACUUAUGAGAGGAAUUCGUUCACAAAUGGAUGGAUUAAUCCCUGGG
RNAcentral lists this small RNA (581 nucleotides) under Pongo abelii (Sumatran orangutan). RNAcentral describes it as "processed transcript". The record is from RNAcentral. Lineage: Eukaryota; Metazoa; Chordata; Mammalia; Primates; Hominidae.